UUGGACUCAACGCCGGGCAGCUCACCGGAUAAAGACAAGGCUGGAUGAUAGCCGGGCUGAAGACUCUGCUUGACUAGCUGAGAGGAGGUGCAUGGCCGUCGUCAGUUCGUACUGUGAAGCAUCCUGUUAAGUCAGGCAACGAGCGAGACCCACGCCAACAGUUGCCAGCAUGUCCUCCGGGAUGAUGGGGACACUGUUGGGACCGCCUCUGCUAAAGAGGAGGAAGGAAUGGGCAACGGUAGGUCAGCAUGCCCCGAAUUAUCCGGGCUACACGCGGGCUACAAUGGUCAGGACAAUGGGUAUCGACACCGAGAGGUGGAGGCAAUCUCCUAAACCUGUCCUUAGUUCGGAUUGUGGGCUGCAACUCGCCCACAUGAAGCUGGAAUCCGUAGUAAUCGCGUUUCAAAAUAGCGCGGUGAAUAUGUCCCUGCUCCUU
RNAcentral lists this ribosomal RNA (436 nucleotides) under uncultured Methanolinea sp. RNAcentral describes it as "bacterial SSU rRNA". It matches the Rfam family "Archaeal small subunit ribosomal RNA", at positions 906 to 1338 of the family's 1478-position model. The record is from RNAcentral. Lineage: Archaea; Methanobacteriati; Methanobacteriota; Methanomicrobia; Methanomicrobiales; Methanoregulaceae.